This 306-nucleotide long non-coding RNA is filed under the name Capsella rubella. RNAcentral describes it as "long non-coding RNA (CRUB_LNC004479)". The record is from RNAcentral. Lineage: Eukaryota; Viridiplantae; Streptophyta; Magnoliopsida; Brassicales; Brassicaceae.
UGAGUUUGCUUUCAAAGAAGUUGUAGCUAUGCACCACCUGAUCCAAGGUUUUGAGAACGGGUCUUGGAUGGAUUAGUUGGAUUACAUGAUGCUCUUUGCUCGCGGCGGUACCAAACGUAGGCGGCGUAAACAUUCGCGAGCCGCUUAAAUUAUAUGACGUGUCAAACAGAAGACUGUUCGAUUUGUCAUAGGUCACGUGUCACCCUUUUGUAUCUGAUAUCCGCCACGUAGGAUAAUAGUUUCUCCGCUUACGUGGACUUUUCAAGCCUUCUGGUCUGUCCGGAAAAUAAGUUGUUUUAUGCCAAC